Molecule: long non-coding RNA, 393 nt
Filed under: Felis catus (domestic cat)
Lineage: Eukaryota; Metazoa; Chordata; Mammalia; Carnivora; Felidae
Description: lncRNA (ENSFCAG00000053016.1)
Source: RNAcentral
AUGUCUCCUGUUGCACAGAAGACAGAGAAUGAGACUUACCUGCAGAGGAGAAAAGAUGAAGGCAACAGUGACAAAAGCAGCAGUGAGAGCAUUCAAGGACUCUCCCUAAUACUGUGGGAUCAUAGGAGAAUCCUGAGACAUACCCAGGAAACUGAAGAAGGGGAACUGAAAUGUUUGUCAAAGGAAGCCAGAAGAAUAGAUGAGAAACAAGGUCGGGGGCGGAAACAGAGACAAAGAAGUUUGGCAAGAAGCACAGCGGUUUAUAUACUGUGCUGUUCUGUGAUUCAUUUUACACUGACUUACCAUGUGAAGACAAUGAGUGCCACUCUGGCAAAGGGUUUGCCAAGCAAGGAUGUCAACUGGGUUUCAGAAUCCUCUAACUUACUAGACUAA